GGGUUGUGAGGUUAAGCGACUAAGCGUACACGGUGGAUGCCCUGGCAGUCAGAGGCGAUGAAGGGCGUGCUAAUCUGCGAUAAGCGCCGGUAAGGUGAUAUGAACCGUUAUAACCGGCGAUACCCGAAUGGGGAAACCCAGUGUGAUUCGUCACACUAUCAUUAACUGAAUCCAUAGGUUAAUGAGGCGAACCGGGGGAACUGAAACAUCUAAGUACCCCGAGGAAAAGAAAUCAACCGAGAUUCCCCCAGUAGCGGCGAGCGAACGGGGAGGAGCCCAGAGCCUGAAUCAGCAUGUGUGUUAGUGGAAGCGUCUGGAAAGUCGCGCGAUACAGGGUGACAGCCCCGUACACAAAAGCGCAUGUGUUGUGAGCUCGAUGAGUAGGGCGGGACACGUGGUAUCCUGUCUGAAUAUGGGGGGACCAUCCUCCAAGGCUAAAUACUCCUGACUGACCGAUAGUGAACCAGUACCGUGAGGGAAAGGCGAAAAGAACCCCGGCGAGGGGAGUGAAAAAGAACCUGAAACCGUGUACGUACAAGCAGUGGGAGCACCCUUCGGGGUGUGACUGCGUACCUUUUGUAUAAUGGGUCAGCGACUUAUAUUCUGUAGCAAGGUUAACCGAAUAGGGGAGCCGGAGGGAAACCGAGUCUUAAUUGGGCGUUAAGUUGCAGGGUAUAGACCCGAAACCCGGUGAUCUAGCCAUGGGCAGGUUGAAGGUUGGGUAACACUAACUGGAGGACCGAACCGACUAAUGUUGAAAAAUUAGCGGAUGACCUGUGGCUGGGGGUGAAAGGCCAAUCAAACCGGGAGAUAGCUGGUUCUCCCCGAAAGCUAUUUAGGUAGCGCCUCGUGAAUUCAUCUCCGGGGGUAGAGCACUGUUUCGGCUAGGGGGCCAUCCCGGCUUACCAACCCGAUGCAAACUGCGAAUACCGGAGAAUGUUAUCACGGGAGACACACGGCGGGUGCUAACGUCCGUCGUGAAGAGGGAAACAACCCAGACCGCCAGCUAAGGUCCCAAAGUCAUGGUUAAGUGGGAAACGAUGUGGGAAGGCCCAGACAGCCAGGAUGUUGGCUUAGAAGCAGCCAUCAUUUAAAGAAAGCGUAAUAGCUCACUGGUCGAGUCGGCCUGCGCGGAAGAUGUAACGGGGCUAAACCAU
This 1157-nucleotide ribosomal RNA is filed under the name Salmonella enterica subsp. enterica serovar Stanley. RNAcentral's name for it is "partial 23S ribosomal RNA". It matches the Rfam family "Bacterial large subunit ribosomal RNA", at positions 1 to 1190 of the family's 2925-position model. The record is from RNAcentral. Lineage: Bacteria; Pseudomonadati; Pseudomonadota; Gammaproteobacteria; Enterobacterales; Enterobacteriaceae.